UCGAACGAAGCACAGAUGUAGAAUUUCUUCGGAAAGGAAGCGCCUGUGACUGAGUGGCGGACGGGUGAGUAACGCGUGGGCAACCUGCCCCAUACCGGGGGACAACAGCUGGAAACGGCUGCUAAUACCGCAUACGUUUUCGGUGCCGCAUGGCGCCGAAAAGAAAACUCCGGUGGUAUGGGAUGGGCCCGCGUCUGAUUAGCUAGUUGGGAGGGUAACGGCCUACCAAGGCGACGAUCAGUAGCCGGCCUGAGAGGGCGACCGGCCACAUUGGGACUGAGACACGGCCCAGACUCCUGCGGGAGGCAGCAGUGGGGAAUAUUGCACAAUGGGGGAAACCCUGAUGCAGCGACGCCGCGUGAGCGAAGAAGUACCUCGGUAUGUAAAGCUCUAUCAGCAGGGAAGAAAGUGACAGUACCUGACUAAGAAGCCCCGGCUAACUACGUGCCAGCAGCCGCGGUAAUACGUAGGGGGCAAGCGUUAUCCGGAUUCACUGGGCGUAAAGGGAGCGCAGGCGGCGCGGCAAGUCUGAUGUGAAAGCCCGGGGCUCAACCCCGGGUCUGCGUUGGAAACUGUCGAGCUAGAGUGUCGGAGGGGUAAGCGGAAUUCCUAGUGUAGCGGUGAAAUGCGU
This 631-nucleotide ribosomal RNA is filed under the name uncultured bacterium. RNAcentral describes it as "bacterial SSU rRNA". It matches the Rfam family "Bacterial small subunit ribosomal RNA", at positions 62 to 691 of the family's 1533-position model. The record is from RNAcentral.